UAGUCAUAUGCUUGUCUCAAAGAUUAAGCCAUGCAUGUCUAAGUACAAGCCUCACUAAGGUGAAACCGCGAAUGGCUCAUUAAAUCACACCUAAUCUACUGGAUAGUUAACAGUUACUUGGAUAACUGCGGUAAUUCUGGAGCUAAUACAUGCACAAAGCCCCGAACUUACGUGAGGGGCGCUUUUAUUAGAUCAAAACCAAACGGCUUCGGCUGUAUCCUUGGUGACUCUGAAUAACUUUGGGCUGAUCGCAUGGCCUAGCGCCGGCGACAUAUCCUUCGAAGGUGUGCCCUAUCAACUGUCGACUGUGGCAUAGACGCCCACAGUGGUUUUGACGGGUAACGGGGAAUCAGGGUUCGAUUCCGGAGAGGGAGCCUUAAAAACGGCUACCACAUCUAAGGAAGACAGCAGGCACGCAAAUUACCCAAUGACCGAAGGUCGAGGUAGUGACAAAAAAUAACGAUACGGGACUCAUCUGAGGCCCCGUAAUCGGAAUGAGUACACUUUAAAACCGUCCCCGAGGGUCUAUU
Molecule: ribosomal RNA, 530 nt
Filed under: uncultured eukaryote
Lineage: Eukaryota
Description: SSU rRNA
Rfam family: Eukaryotic small subunit ribosomal RNA
Source: RNAcentral